GAUGAAGAACGUAGCGAAAUGCGAUAAGUAAUGUGAAUUGCAGAAUUCAGUGAAUCAUCGAAUCUUUGAACGCACAUUGCGCCCGCCAGUAUUCUGGCGGGCAUGCCUGUUCGAGCGUCAUUUCAACCAUCAAGCCCCAGGCUUGUGUUGGGGACCUGCGGCUGCCGCAGGCCCUGAAAACCAGUGGCGGGCUCGCUGUCACACCGGGCGUAGUAGAUUUUAUCUCGCUCAGGGCGUGCUGCGGGUUCCGGCCGUUAAAAAGCCUUUUUUACCCAAGGUUGACCUCGGAUCAGGUAGGAAGACCCGCUGAACUUAAGCAUAUCAAUAACGAGGA
Molecule: unclassified non-coding RNA, 334 nt
Filed under: soil metagenome
Description: partial contains 5.8S ribosomal RNA, internal transcribed spacer 2, and large subunit ribosomal RNA
Rfam family: 5.8S ribosomal RNA (bases 1-120)
Source: RNAcentral